ACCAGGAUGGCCGAGUGGUUAAGGCGUUGGACUUAAGAUCCAAUGGACAUAUGUCCUCGUGGGUUCGAACCCCACUCCUGGUA
Molecule: transfer RNA, 83 nt
Filed under: Clupea harengus (Atlantic herring)
Lineage: Eukaryota; Metazoa; Chordata; Actinopteri; Clupeiformes; Clupeidae
Also listed under: 9 other names
Rfam family: tRNA
About the family: Transfer RNA (tRNA) molecules are approximately 80 nucleotides in length. Their secondary structure includes four short double-helical elements and three loops (D, anti-codon, and T loops).
Source: Rfam by way of RNAcentral